Molecule: long non-coding RNA, 1284 nt
Filed under: Panax ginseng (ginseng)
Lineage: Eukaryota; Viridiplantae; Streptophyta; Magnoliopsida; Apiales; Araliaceae
Description: long non-coding RNA (PGIN_LNC015221)
Source: RNAcentral
ACGCCAAUUUUUCGCGGUGGAGAGAAAAUUUACUGUCGACGGGACAUAUUGUUAAAGGCGACGGUCACGUCGUCGCUAGUGCGUCAAACUCAACAGGACUAAUAUUGACGACUAUACUGUUGAGAAUGAGUCUUUUACUAAAACCCCUUAUUUUCGAAGGCAGCGACACCUAUUUUUUGCCCCUCUCUUCUGAUUUUCAAUCAGAUUUUUGUUUUUCCCUCUCAAUUCUUCAAUCACAGUAGACCAUUUGCUCAAUUGAUAAUCCCAUUUCUCCUAAUCGAUUCUCACAAUUCAGCCCAUCACCAUCCCAGUGGAGAUUACAGUUCGAGCACCCCAUCAUCAUCAUCUCAAUUCGCCUAGUCUGCCUCUCCCAGCUGCGCCCGGCACCGGCUGUACUCCGACCGACCGAACCUUUGCCCCCCCUCUGCCUUCUUUUUCUUUACUCUUGGUUGCCCAUUACAAGGUAAGCUUAUUUUCUCGUGAUAAUUGAUUUUUAAGUUGGUUUUGAUUCUUGAAAUUAGCGGGUAUGCACUUUUGGUAUGUGAAGAUUUGAUGUUUACAAGAUUUUUUAGUUUCUAUUUUGGUUCAUUUACUUUUAUGAAUUGCUUGCUUUUGGUGCCAGUUUAACAUUUUUUACCUAAUUCUUUUGUUUUGGUUGGAACAAGAGAUUUCUUCUAGAGCAUUAUCAUUGUUCUAGACUUCAAUUCUUCACUAAUUAACUAAAAGCAAUUGGAAAGUUGUAUUACAUUUUCACAAGUCAUGCAAGUAGCAUUUUGAUAAUCAAGAAUUUUUGGCUUUAGGGCAUAAAUAAUACUUAUCGCUGCUAAUUUAUUAUUUAUCUUAAUUUCUCGUAUUGUCAGCAGUGUAGUUGUGAAACAUUCCUCUUAUUACUUUUAUAGUUCCCACCAAGUUUUUAAUACUUGUAUUCGACUCUAAAUUCAGAUUAUUUUUGUCUUGUGAUUUUCCCAAAAGUUUCCUUUUUGCAGAACAUUUAUAAAUCUAUGUCCACCACCUUGUGGCGGUAAUGAUGCCGAUAUAGAUACUUGCCGAGAUGAGAAAAUGGCUUUCCUCCUCAAGAUAAGGGCUAUAGCUGCCAUUCUCAUCCCUAGAGUUUGUGGUGUAGCAAUCCCAUUACAAGGUUCCCCAAAACUUACAUUUCUCAUUUGGAGAAGAUUAUCCUUGUAAUCUUGAUUUUUAUUUGUAAAUAUUGUUUAGUAUGAACUUUCAUACUCUUAAACUAACUGAUGAACCUAUAAAAAAUACAGAAUCUGAGUUCGAAUCAUG